This 253-nucleotide ribosomal RNA is filed under the name uncultured bacterium. RNAcentral describes it as "partial 16S ribosomal RNA". It matches the Rfam family "Bacterial small subunit ribosomal RNA", at positions 524 to 776 of the family's 1533-position model. The record is from RNAcentral.
UACAGAGGGUGCAAACGUUGUUCGGAAUUACUGGGCGUAAAGCGCGUGCAGGCGGCCUUGCAAGUCGGACGUGAAAUCCCACGGCUCAACCGUGGAAGUGCAUUCGAAACUGCGAGGCUGGAGUCCUGGAGAGGCGAGUGGAAUUCCGAGUGUAGAGGUGAAAUUCGUAGAUAUUCGGAAGAACACCAGUGGCGAAGGCGGCUCACUGGACUGGUAUUGACGCUGAGGUACGAAAGCGUGGGGAGCAAACAGG